UGCAAGUCGAGCGCACCUUCGGGUGAGCGGCGGACGGGUUAGUAACGCGUGGGAACAUACCCUUUGGUACGGAAUAGCCUCUGGAAACGGAGAGUAAUACCGUAUGAGCCCUUCGGGGGAAAGAUUUAUCGCCAAAGGAUUGGCCCGCGUUAGAUUAGGUAGUUGGUGGGGUAAUGGCCUACCAAGCCUACGAUCUAUAGCUGGUUUUAGAGGAUGAUCAGCAACACUGGGACUGAGACACGGCCCAGACUCCUACGGGAGGCAGCAGUGGGGAAUCUUGGACAAUGGGGGCAACCCUGAUCCAGCCAUGCCGCGUGAGUGAUGAAGGCCUUAGGGUCGUAAAGCUCUUUCGCCUGUGAAGAUAAUGACGGUAGCAGGUAAAGAAACCCCGGCUAACUCCGUGCCAGCAGCCGCGGUAAUACGGAGGGGGUUAGCGUUGUUCGGAAUUACUGGGCGUAAAGCGCACGUAGGCGGACUGGAAAGUUGGGGGUGAAAUCCCAGGGCUCAACCCUGGAACUGCCUCCAAAACUAUCAGUCUAGAGUUCGAGAGAGGUGAGUGGAAUUCCGAGUGUAGAGGUGAAAUUCGUAGAUAUUCGGAGGAACACCAGUGGCGAAGGCGGCUCACUGGCUCGAUACUGACGCUGAGGUGCGAAAGUGUGGGGAGCAAACAGGAUUAGAUACCCUGG
This 686-nucleotide ribosomal RNA is filed under the name Ruegeria sp. AU505_Ted1_MB20NH4. Its description in RNAcentral is "bacterial SSU rRNA". It matches the Rfam family "Bacterial small subunit ribosomal RNA", at positions 56 to 790 of the family's 1533-position model. The record is from RNAcentral. Lineage: Bacteria; Pseudomonadati; Pseudomonadota; Alphaproteobacteria; Rhodobacterales; Roseobacteraceae.